Molecule: long non-coding RNA, 206 nt
Filed under: Elaeis guineensis (African oil palm)
Lineage: Eukaryota; Viridiplantae; Streptophyta; Magnoliopsida; Arecales; Arecaceae
Description: long non-coding RNA (EGUI_LNC003856)
Source: RNAcentral
UAGCCAAACCUCACUUUGUGGUAGACUAACAUUGGUAAAAUUCAUUACAACCACACCUGUAGGCUUUUUGAACUUGUCUUGUCUGACAAAUUUCAGUGGGCCCACCUUAUGUUGAUACAAAAUAACUUCAGUCAUGUUUGUAUUUAGCAUAAAUAGUCUACUAUUUGCUAUAACAACUUCCACUUCAUCCUCCUUUUCCUUUGCAU